Molecule: ribosomal RNA, 611 nt
Filed under: Meyerozyma guilliermondii
Lineage: Eukaryota; Fungi; Ascomycota; Pichiomycetes; Serinales; Debaryomycetaceae
Description: LSU rRNA
Rfam family: Eukaryotic large subunit ribosomal RNA
Source: RNAcentral
AAAAAGCGGAGGAAAAGAAACCAACAGGGAUUGCCUUAGUAGCGGCGAGUGAAGCGGCAAAAGCUCAAAUUUGAAAUCUGGCGCCUUCGGUGUCCGAGUUGUAAUUUGAAGAUUGUAACCUUGGGGUUGGCUCUUGUCUAUGUUUCUUGGAACAGGACGUCACAGAGGGUGAGAAUCCCGUGCGAUGAGAUGCCCAAUUCUAUGUAAGGUGCUUUCGAAGAGUCGAGUUGUUUGGGAAUGCAGCUCUAAGUGGGUGGUAAAUUCCAUCUAAAGCUAAAUAUUGGCGAGAGACCGAUAGCGAACAAGUACAGUGAUGGAAAGAUGAAAAGAACUUUGAAAAGAGAGUGAAAAAGUACGUGAAAUUGUUGAAAGGGAAGGGUUUGAGAUCAGACUCGAUAUUUUGUGAGCCUUGCCUUCGUGGCGGGGUGACCCGCAGCUUAUCGGGCCAGCAUCGGUUUGGGCGGUAGGAUAAUGGCGUAGGAAUGUGACUUUACUUCGGUGAAGUGUUAUAGCCUGCGUUGAUGCUGCCUGCCUAGACCGAGGACUGCGAUUUUAUCAAGGAUGCUGGCAUAAUGAUCCCAAACCGCCCGUCUUGAAACACGGGACCCAAA